This 497-nucleotide ribosomal RNA is filed under the name uncultured bacterium. Its description in RNAcentral is "partial 16S ribosomal RNA". It matches the Rfam family "Bacterial small subunit ribosomal RNA", at positions 28 to 507 of the family's 1533-position model. The record is from RNAcentral.
GAUGAACGCUGGCGGCGUGCCUAAUACAUGCAAGUCGAGCGAACAGAUGAGGAGCUUGCUCCUCUGACGUUAGCGGCGGACGGGUGAGUAACACGUGGAUAACCUACCUAUAAGACUGGGAUAACUUCGGGAAACCGGAGCUAAUACCGGAUAAUAUAUUGAACCGCAUGGUUCAAUAGUGAAAGACGGUUUUGCUGUCACUUAUAGAUGGAUCCGCGCCGCAUUAGCUAGUUGGUAAGGUAACGGCUUACCAAGGCGACGAUGCGUAGCCGACUUGAGAGGGUGAUCGGCCACACUGGAACUGAGACACGGUCCAGACUCCUACGGGAGGCAGCAGUAGGGAAUCUUCCGCAAUGGGCGAAAGCCUGACGGAGCAACGCCGCGUGAGUGAUGAAGGUCUUCGGAUCGUAAAACUCUGUUAUUAGGGAAGAACAAAUGUGUAAGUAACUAUGCACGUCUUGACGGUACCUAAUCAGAAAGCCACGGCUAACUACGUG